This 757-nucleotide ribosomal RNA is filed under the name uncultured bacterium. Its description in RNAcentral is "bacterial SSU rRNA". It matches the Rfam family "Bacterial small subunit ribosomal RNA", at positions 28 to 776 of the family's 1533-position model. The record is from RNAcentral.
AUUGAACGCUGGCGGCAGGCUUAACACAUGCAAGUCGAACGGUAACAGGGAGAAACUGUUUAUCUGUGACGAGUGGCGGACGGGUGAGUAAUGCUUGGGAAUCUGCCUUAUGGAGGGGGAUAACCACUGGAAACGGUGGAUAAUACCGCGUAAUAUCUUCGGAUUAAAGUGUGGGACUUUCGAGCCACACGCCAUAAGAUGAGCCCAAGUGAGAUUAGGUUGUUGGUGAGGUAAUGGCUCACCAAGCUUACGAUCUCUAGCUGGUUUGAGAGGAUGACCAGCCACACUGGGACUGAGACACGGCCCAGACUCCUACGGGAGGCAGCAGUGGGGAAUAUUGCACAAUGGGCGCAAGCCUGAUGCAGCCAUGCCGCGUGAAUGAAGAAGGCCUUAGGGUUGUAAAGUUCUUUCAUUAGUGAGAAAGCGGUUAUAUUUAAUAGGUGUAACCAUUGAUGUUAGCUAAAGAAGAAGCACCGGCUAACUCCGUGCCAGCAGCCGCGGUAAUACGGAGGGUGCGAGCGUUAAUCGGAAUGACUGGGCGUAAAGGGCACGCAGGCGGUUAUUUAAGUCAGAUGUGAAAGCCCCGAGCUUAACUUGGGAAUUGCAUUUGAUACUGGGUAACUAGAGUCCUCUAGGGAGGGGUAGAAUUCCAUGUGUAGCGGUGAAAUGCGUAGAGAUGUGGAGGAAUACCGAAGGCGAAGGCAGCCCCUUGGAGAGAGACUGACGCUCAUGUGCGAAAGCGUGGGUAGCAAACAGG